Molecule: long non-coding RNA, 214 nt
Filed under: Panax ginseng (ginseng)
Lineage: Eukaryota; Viridiplantae; Streptophyta; Magnoliopsida; Apiales; Araliaceae
Description: long non-coding RNA (PGIN_LNC014293)
Source: RNAcentral
GACAGAGAAAUAGCAUACAUUGAGAAUGAACUUGGUAAGAAACCUGUGAAUAAUUUCACACGUGCAUUUUUAGAUCUGAUGAAGUUGAAGGAUACAAAACCAUUUCUAUGCAAGAACAGGGAAGGAUGCUUGACAAAAUACCUACAGAGGAAAGUAGAAUAGGAAAGAAAAAGCUUACAUACUCGUGCUAGCAAAAAAGCAACCACUAGUUAAG